GGGGAUGCAGCUCAGUGGUAGAGCACUUUCCCUAGCAUGCAUGAUGACCUGGGUUCAAUGCCAAGCACCCCCC
This 73-nucleotide transfer RNA is filed under the name Marmota monax (woodchuck). Its description in RNAcentral is "tRNA.Undet". The record is from RNAcentral. Lineage: Eukaryota; Metazoa; Chordata; Mammalia; Rodentia; Sciuridae.